Molecule: ribosomal RNA, 253 nt
Filed under: uncultured bacterium
Lineage: Bacteria
Description: partial 16S ribosomal RNA
Rfam family: Bacterial small subunit ribosomal RNA
Source: RNAcentral
UACAGAGGAUGCAAGUUUUAUUCGGAAUUAUUGGGCGUAAAGCGUCUGCAGGUUGAUGUAAAAGUCUUUUGUUAAAUAUCAGGGCUCAACCCGGAAUCUGCAAAAGAAACUAUAUAUCUCGAGUAUGGUAGAGGUAAGGGGAAUUUCCAGUGGAGCGGUGAAAUGCGUAGAUAUUGGAAAGAACACCGAUAGCGAAGGCACCUUACUGGGCCAUUACUGACACUCAGAGACGAAAGCUAGGGUAGCAAACGGG